Molecule: ribosomal RNA, 225 nt
Filed under: uncultured bacterium
Lineage: Bacteria
Description: partial 16S ribosomal RNA
Rfam family: Bacterial small subunit ribosomal RNA
Source: RNAcentral
UAGCGCGUGAGGAACCUGCCUCAAAGAGGGGGACAACAGUUGGAAACGACUGCUAAUACCGCAUAAGCCCACGGCUCGGCAUCGAGCAGAGGGAAAAGGAGUGAUCCGCUUUGAGAUGGCCUCGCGUCCGAUUAGCUAGUUGGUGAGGUAAUGGCCCACCAAGGCGACGAUCGGUAGCCGGACUGAGAGGUUGACCGGCCACAUUGGGACUGAGAUACGGCCCAG